This 574-nucleotide long non-coding RNA is filed under the name Ananas comosus (pineapple). Its description in RNAcentral is "long non-coding RNA (ACOM_LNC027344)". Lineage: Eukaryota; Viridiplantae; Streptophyta; Magnoliopsida; Poales; Bromeliaceae. The record is from RNAcentral.
UAUAUAAAGAGAAAGAGUUAGGCUGAUAUACUAUCAGUAGCACGGAGUCUUCCGUGCUGCCAAGUUAUUUUCAACGAUGCGGCUUCCAAAUCGAUGACCGGCUUCGUUAGACUUGAUUUACACUAUUGAAAGUAUUUGAAAAUUAAAUUUCAUAAUUUUUCAGCAUCAUUUAUCUAUAAAAUGAGCAGUCUAAAAAUGAACGGCUAAAAAUACAAUUCUCAUAAAAAAUGGUGAUAAAAUACUUGAAUUUAAGAUCAGAGGUGCCGAUCUCCCUCUAAAUAGUGAAAAAAAAUUUCUAUAAAAAUUUCAUCAGAUUUGGAUUAUUUUACACCGUUAAAUUCACAAACGCAUCACAUCUACUAUUAAAAUUAUCAAUUCUGAGACCUUUUGAUCACUAGCCAAAUAAUAUCAAAAAAUUAUGAAAUUUAAUUUUCAAAUAUUUUCAACAGUAUAGAUCAAGACUAACGGAGCCAAUCGUCGAUUUGGAAGCCGCAUCAUUGAAAACAAUUAGACAGCACGGAGGCCUCCGUACUACCGAUAAUAUACCGGCCUAUCUAUCUAUAUAUAUAUAUAA